This is a non-coding RNA of Aedes albopictus (Asian tiger mosquito), 74 nucleotides long. NCBI's taxonomy places the organism in Eukaryota, Metazoa, Arthropoda, Insecta, Diptera, Culicidae. The record is from Rfam.
UGUUCUGUGGCUUAGUGUGUUGAAGCACCGGGCUAGCGAAUACGCAGCCGUGGGUUCGAAUUCCACCAGAACGC